RNAcentral lists this ribosomal RNA (253 nucleotides) under uncultured bacterium. Its description in RNAcentral is "partial 16S ribosomal RNA". It matches the Rfam family "Bacterial small subunit ribosomal RNA", at positions 524 to 776 of the family's 1533-position model. The record is from RNAcentral.
UACGUAGGGGGCAAGCGUUGUCCGGACUUACUGGGCGUAAAGCGUGUGCAGGCGGGCCGCUAUGUGCCGUGUGAAAGCUCUCAGCUUAUCUGGGAGAGGUCGCGGUAGACAGGCAGUCUGGAGGCUCGGAGAGGUCAGUGGAAUUCUCGGUGUAGUGGUGAAAUGCGUAGAGAUGUGGAGGAACACCGAUGGCGAAGGCAGCCCCCUGGGUCAAGAUUGACGCUCAUGCACGAAAGCGUGGGGAGCAAACAGG